GACGGGGGGAGCAAGCGUUGUUCGGAUUUACUGGGCGUAAAGGGCGUCUAGGCUGAUCGGUAAGUUAGGUGUGAAAUCCCUCGGCUCAACCGGGGAACUGCACUUGAUACUGCAGAUCUUGAGUUCGGAAGAGGAAAGCGGAAUUCCUGGUGUAGCGGUGAAAUGCGUAGAUAUCAGGAAGAACACCAGUGGCGAAGGCGGCUUUCUGGUCCGAUUACUGACGCUGAAGCGCGAAAGUGUGGGGAGCAAACAGGAUUAGAUACCCCCGUA
RNAcentral lists this ribosomal RNA (270 nucleotides) under uncultured prokaryote. RNAcentral's name for it is "partial 16S ribosomal RNA". It matches the Rfam family "Bacterial small subunit ribosomal RNA", at positions 524 to 792 of the family's 1533-position model. The record is from RNAcentral.